Molecule: long non-coding RNA, 526 nt
Filed under: Exaiptasia diaphana
Lineage: Eukaryota; Metazoa; Cnidaria; Anthozoa; Actiniaria; Aiptasiidae
Description: uncharacterized LOC110245957
Source: RNAcentral
UACAAAAUAUCACAGGAACAAGAAGAUAUUAGUUUUUUCAAGCAGGAUAAUAUACGUUCAGCGUUAGACCAGGCAAAAAUUGCUGGCACAGAAGCUAGAAAGUCAAGGUUUAAGAUGUUGUUUUCGUUGUGCGAUGAAAAAGANUCUCGAAAACGAAACACCAGGACAUCAAGAACGCAGUCGGCUGCUUCAAAACAUGUCCAGUCUUCAGACGAAAGUGACGAGGAAGAAGAAUCUGUCAAACCAAAACAAGCAAAACGAAGAAAGAAAAACAAUUCAUCCGUAGAAUCUGACAGCGAUGAGUAACAGACCACCUCACCCCUCAAACAAUGAACAACAGCCCCACCUUCCUUGAAUCAUGAUGAAUAUCUUUAGAUCUCCUAGACGCGCAUUCCAGUCAAACAGGCCCAUUAGAAAUGAUUUAUCCACAAGGGUGACUGAUGGUGCUGUUUUUUAUUUGAAAAGAUUGGUCACUAUUGUAAUACUGGUUAAUAUAAUAAAAUUAUUGCUAGGCCGAUUAUAAAAA